RNAcentral lists this ribosomal RNA (164 nucleotides) under uncultured bacterium. Its description in RNAcentral is "partial 16S rRNA". It matches the Rfam family "Bacterial small subunit ribosomal RNA", at positions 355 to 511 of the family's 1533-position model. The record is from RNAcentral.
UAGAGAAUCUUCCACAAUGGGCGAAAGCCUGAUGGAGCAACGCCGCGUGUGUGAUGAAGGGUUUCGGCUCGUAAAACACUGUUGUAAGAGAAGAAUGACAUUGAGAGUAACUGUUCAAUGUGUGACGGUAUCUUACCAGAAAGGAACGGCUAAAUACGUGCCAC